UGGGGAAUAUUGCACAAUGGAGGGAACUCUGAUGCAGCGACGCCGCGUGAACGAAGAAGGCUUUCGAGUCGUAAAGUUCUUUUAUAUGGGAAGAUAAUGACGGUACCAUAAGAAAAAGCCCCGGCUAACUACGUGCCAGCAGCCGCGGUAAUACGUAGGGGGCUAGCGUUUUCCGGAAUCACUGGGCGUAAAGGGUUCGCAGGCGGAAAUGCAAGUCAGGUGUAAAAGGCAGUAGCUUAACUACUGUAAGCAUUUGAAACUGCAUAUCUUGAGAAGAGUAGAGGUAAGUGGAAUUUUUAGUGUAGCGGUGAAAUGCGUAGAUAUUAAAGAGAAUACCGGUGGCGAAGGCGACUUACUGGGGUCAUUCUGACGCUGAGGAACGAAAGCGUGGGUAGGAAACAGG
Molecule: ribosomal RNA, 403 nt
Filed under: bacterium
Lineage: Bacteria
Description: partial 16S ribosomal RNA
Rfam family: Bacterial small subunit ribosomal RNA
Source: RNAcentral